RNAcentral lists this transfer RNA (71 nucleotides) under Dipodomys ordii (Ord's kangaroo rat). It matches the Rfam family "tRNA". From Rfam's summary of the family: Transfer RNA (tRNA) molecules are approximately 80 nucleotides in length. Their secondary structure includes four short double-helical elements and three loops (D, anti-codon, and T loops). Further hydrogen bonds mediate the characteristic L-shaped molecular structure. tRNAs have two regions of fundamental functional importance: the anti-codon, which is responsible for specific mRNA codon recognition, and the 3' end, to which the tRNAs corresponding amino acid is attached (by aminoacyl-tRNA synthetases). tRNAs cope with the degeneracy of the genetic code in two manners: having more than one tRNA (with a specific anti-codon) for a particular amino acid; and 'wobble' base-pairing, i.e. permitting non-standard base-pairing at the 3rd anti-codon position. The record is from Rfam by way of RNAcentral. Lineage: Eukaryota; Metazoa; Chordata; Mammalia; Rodentia; Heteromyidae.
GGAGCUGUGGCUCAAAUGGUAGAGUGCUUGUCUAGCAUGCAUGAAGCCCUGGGUUCGAUUCCUCAGCACCA